Molecule: ribosomal RNA, 423 nt
Filed under: uncultured bacterium
Lineage: Bacteria
Description: bacterial SSU rRNA
Rfam family: Bacterial small subunit ribosomal RNA
Source: RNAcentral
CAUGCAGUCGAGCGCCCCGCAAGGGGAGCGGCAGACGGGUGAGUAACGCGUGGGAAUCUACCCAUCACUACGGAACAACUCCGGGAAACUGGAGCUAAUACCGUAUACGUCCUUCGGGAGAAAGAUUUAUCGGUGAUGGAUGAGCCCGCGUUGGAUUAGCUAGUUGGUGGGGUAAUGGCCUACCAAGGCGACGAUCCAUAGCUGGUCUGAGAGGAUGAUCAGCCACACUGGGACUGAGACACGGCCCAGACUCCUACGGGAGGCAGCAGUGGGGAAUAUUGGACAAUGGGCGCAAGCCUGAUCCAGCCAUGCCGCGUGAGUGAUGAAGGCCCUAGGGUUGUAAAGCUCUUUCAACGGUGAAGAUAAUGACGGUAACCGUAGAAGAAGCCCCGGCUAACUUCGUGCCAGCAGCCGCGGUAAUAC